UGUCUAUAUCAGGUUUAAAACACCAGUUCCCAUACAACCACCAAAGUUAAGCAACAUCAAGCCUGGUCAGUUCAUAGACAGGUGACUGCUUGGGAAUACUGAGUACUGUAAG
Non-coding RNA from Acanthosepion pharaonis, 112 nucleotides. Lineage: Eukaryota; Metazoa; Mollusca; Cephalopoda; Sepiida; Sepiidae. The record is from the annotation of a GenBank genome assembly.